GUCCGUUAUAUGCAACGUUUUAUAGCGUUUAGGAGGUGUGGGGUCCGUUAUAAUGAAUAACUACAAAUUUGCUUGGAACCUAAGAGCCAGCAAAAAAGUUAGGAGCCAGGUUUUACAAUAUCAAAAAUACAAUUCUUAAAGGGACACUAUAGUCACCAGAACCAAUACAGCUUAAUGUAGUUUUUCUGGUGUCUAAUCUGUCC
Molecule: non-coding RNA, 203 nt
Organism: Pelobates cultripes (western spadefoot toad)
Lineage: Eukaryota; Metazoa; Chordata; Amphibia; Anura; Pelobatidae
Source: the annotation of a GenBank genome assembly